RNAcentral lists this ribosomal RNA (278 nucleotides) under uncultured Aquificales bacterium. RNAcentral describes it as "partial 16S ribosomal RNA". It matches the Rfam family "Bacterial small subunit ribosomal RNA", at positions 25 to 274 of the family's 1533-position model. The record is from RNAcentral. Lineage: Bacteria; Pseudomonadati; Aquificota; Aquificia; Aquificales.
CAGCGCGAACGCUGGCGGCGUGCCUAACACAUGCAAGUCGUGCGCAGGCUUAUCUGUCCUCUGGGCAGAUGGGUGCUGAGCGGCAAACGGGUGAGUAACACGUGCCUAACCUGCCCCCAGGAAGGGGAUAACCCUCCGAAAGGGGGGCUAAUACCCUAUAAAGCCGGGGGCCACUAAGGCUACUCGGCCAAAGGGGGCCUCUGGUCUCUGACCAUGCUCCCGCCUGGGGAUGGGGGCGCGGCCCAUCAGUAGUCGGUGGGGUAACGGCCUACCAAGCC